This 465-nucleotide ribosomal RNA is filed under the name uncultured bacterium. RNAcentral describes it as "bacterial SSU rRNA". It matches the Rfam family "Bacterial small subunit ribosomal RNA", at positions 338 to 795 of the family's 1533-position model. The record is from RNAcentral.
CCUACGGGCGGCACCAGUGGGGAAUAUUGCACAAUGGGCGCAAGCCUGAUGCAGCCAUGCCGCGUGUAUGAAGAAGGCCUUCGGGUUGUAAAGUACUUUCAGCGAGGAGGAAGGCAUUAAGGUUGAUAACCUUGGUGAUUGACGUUACUCGCAGAAGAAGCACCGGCUAACUCCGUGCCAGCAGCCGCGGUAAUACGGAGGGUGCAAGCGUUAAUCGGAAUUACUGGGCGUAAAGCGCACGCAGGCGGUCUGUCAAGUCGGAUGUGAGAUCCCCGGGCUCAACCUGGGAACUGCAUUCGAAACUGGCAGGCUAGAGUCUUGUAGAGGGGGGUAGAAUUCCAGGUGUAGCGGUGAAAUGCGUAGAGAUCUGGAGGAAUACCGGUGGCGAAGGCGGCCCCCUGGACAAAGACUGACGCUCAGGUGCGAAAGCGUGGGGAGCAAACAGGAUUAGAUACCCCUGUAGUC